AUUGAACGCUGGCGGCAGGCCUAACACAUGCAAGUCGAACGGUAACAGGAAGAAGCUUGCUUCUUUGCUGACGAGUGGCGGACGGGUGUGUAAUGUCUGGGAAACUGCUUGAUGGAGGGGGAUAACUACUGGAAACGGUAGCUAAUACCGCAUAACGUCGCAAGACCAAAAAGGGGGACCUUCGGGCCGCUCUGCAUCGGAUUUGCCCAGAUGGGAUUAGCUAGUAGGUGGGGUAACGGCUCACCUAGGCGACGAUCCCUAGCUGGUCUGAGAGGAUGACCAGCCACACUGGAACUGAGACACGGUCCAGACUCCUACGGGAGGCAGCAGUGGGGAAUAUUGCACAAUGGGCGCAAGCCUGAUGCAGCCAUGCCGCGUGUAUGAAGAAGGCCUUCGGGUUGUAAAGUACUUUCAGCGGGGAGGAAGAGAGUAGAGUUAAUACCUUCGCUCAUUGACGUUACCCGCAGAAGAAGCCCCGGCUAACUCCGUG
Molecule: ribosomal RNA, 490 nt
Filed under: uncultured bacterium
Lineage: Bacteria
Description: partial 16S ribosomal RNA
Rfam family: Bacterial small subunit ribosomal RNA
Source: RNAcentral